This 460-nucleotide ribosomal RNA is filed under the name uncultured bacterium. RNAcentral describes it as "partial 16S ribosomal RNA". It matches the Rfam family "Bacterial small subunit ribosomal RNA", at positions 338 to 795 of the family's 1533-position model. The record is from RNAcentral.
CCUACGGGAGGCAGCAGUGAGGAAUAUUGGUCAAUGGACGAGAGUCUGAACCAGCCAAGUAGCGUGAAGGAUGACUGCCCUAUGGGUUGUAAACCUCUUUUAUAAAGGAAUAAAACGAGGCACGUGUGCCUUUUUGCAUGUACUUUAUGAAUAAGGAACGGCUAACUCCGUGCCAGGAGCCGCGGUAAUACGGAGGAUCCGAGCGUUAUCCGGAUUUAUUGGGCUUAAAGGGAGCGUAGAUGGGUUGUUAAGUUAGUUGUGAAAGUUUGCGGGUCAACCGUAAAAUUGCAAUUGAUACUGGCAGUCUUGAGUACAGUUGAGGUAAGCGGAAUUCGUGGUGUAGCGGUGAAAUGCUUAGAUAUCACGAAGAACCCCGAGUGCGAAGGCAGCUUACUAGACUGUGACUGACAUUGAUGCUCGAAAGUGUGGGUAGCAAACAGGAUUAGAUACCCGGGUAGUC